UAAUACGUAGGUGGCAAGCGUUAUCCGGAUUUACUGGGUGUAAAGGGCGUGUAGGCGGGAUCAUAAGUCAGAUGUGAAAUUCCAGGGCUCAACCCUGGAACUGCAUUUGAAACUAUGGUUCUUGAGUGAUGGAGAGGCAGGCGGAAUUCCGAGUGUAGCGGUGAAAUGCGUAGAUAUUCGGAGGAACACCAGUGGCGAAGGCGGCCUGCUGGACAUUAACUGACGCUGAGGCGCGAAAGCGUGGGGAGCAAACAGG
Molecule: ribosomal RNA, 256 nt
Filed under: uncultured bacterium
Lineage: Bacteria
Description: partial 16S ribosomal RNA
Rfam family: Bacterial small subunit ribosomal RNA
Source: RNAcentral